UGUGGUAUAGCUCAGUGGUAGAGAACUUGCCUAGCAUGCAUGAGGCCCUAGGUUCCAUCCCAGCACCAUAC
This 71-nucleotide transfer RNA is filed under the name Ictidomys tridecemlineatus (thirteen-lined ground squirrel). Its description in RNAcentral is "Spermophilus tridecemlineatus (thirteen-lined ground squirrel) tRNA". It matches the Rfam family "tRNA". Rfam says of the family: Transfer RNA (tRNA) molecules are approximately 80 nucleotides in length. Their secondary structure includes four short double-helical elements and three loops (D, anti-codon, and T loops). The record is from Rfam by way of RNAcentral. RNAcentral also lists the same sequence under 1 other name. Lineage: Eukaryota; Metazoa; Chordata; Mammalia; Rodentia; Sciuridae.